GACGAACGCUGGCGGCGUGCUUAACACAUGCAAGUCGAACGGAAAGGCCCUGCUUUUGUGGGGUGCUCGAGUGGCGAACGGGUGAGUAACACGUGAGUAACCUGCCCUUGACUUUGGGAUAACUUCAGGAAACUGGGGCUAAUACCGGAUAGGAGCUCCUGCUGCAUGGUGGGGGUUGGAAAGUUUCGGCGGUUGGGGAUGGACUCGCGGCUUAUCGGCUUGUUGGUGGGGUGGUGGCUUACCCAGGCUUUGACGGGUAGCCGGCCUGAGAGGGUGAGCGGCGGCAUGGGGACUGAGAGACGGCAGGGGGGGGGAAGGGAGGCAGCAGGGGGGAAGAGUGCACAAGGGGCGGGGGGGGGAUGCAGCAGGGCGGCGGGGGGGAUGGCGGCCUUGGGGGGGGAGAGCGGUGGCGGGUGUGACGAGGGGUGAGUGGGGGGAAGGGGUAGAGAAGGAACGGGUAACUACGGG
This 468-nucleotide ribosomal RNA is filed under the name uncultured bacterium. RNAcentral's name for it is "partial 16S ribosomal RNA". The stretch from base 20 to 332 matches the Rfam family "Bacterial small subunit ribosomal RNA", at positions 47 to 358 of the family's 1533-position model. The record is from RNAcentral.